RNAcentral lists this ribosomal RNA (453 nucleotides) under uncultured bacterium. RNAcentral's name for it is "partial 16S ribosomal RNA". It matches the Rfam family "Bacterial small subunit ribosomal RNA", at positions 341 to 792 of the family's 1533-position model. The record is from RNAcentral.
ACGGGAGGCAGCAGUGAGGAAUAUUGGUCAAUGGGCGGAAGCCUGAACCAGCCAAGUCGCGUGAAGGAUGAAGGUAUUAUGUAUUGUAAACUUCUUUAGCUGUGGAGCAAUAAUCGCCAUGCAUGGCGAGAUGAGAGUACACAGAGAAUAAGGAUCGGCUAACUCCGUGCCAGCAGCCGCGGUAAUACGGAGGAUCCGAGCGUUAUCCGGAUUUAUUGGGUUUAAAGGGUGCGCAGGCGGCUUUCUAAGUCAGUGGUUAAAUAGCGGUGCUCAACGCCGUCCCGCCAUUGAUACUGGAGAGCUUGAUUGCGGUCGAGGUUUGCGGAAUUCGUCGUGUAGCGGUGAAAUGCUUAGAUAUGACGAAGAACUCCGAUUGCGAAGGCAGCUUACUGGGCCGCAACUGACGCUGAAGCUCGAAGGUGCGGGUAUCGAACAGGAUUAGAUACCCUGGUA